This 247-nucleotide ribosomal RNA is filed under the name uncultured Pseudomonas sp. RNAcentral describes it as "partial 16S ribosomal RNA". It matches the Rfam family "Bacterial small subunit ribosomal RNA", at positions 1137 to 1382 of the family's 1533-position model. The record is from RNAcentral. Lineage: Bacteria; Pseudomonadati; Pseudomonadota; Gammaproteobacteria; Pseudomonadales; Pseudomonadaceae.
ACUCUAAGGAGACGUGCCGGUGACAAACCGGAGGAAGGUGGGGAUGACGUCAAGUCAUCAUGGCCCUUACGGCCUGGGCUACACACGUGCUACAAUGGUCGGUACAAAGGGUUGCCAAGCCGCGAGGUGGAGCUAAUCCCAUAAAACCGAUCGUAGUCCGGAUCGCAGUCUGCAACUCGACUGCGUGAAGUCGGAAUCGCUAGUAAUCGUGAAUCAGAAUGUCACGGUGAAUACGUUCCCGGGCCUU